CUAAUACCGGGCCGGCGGCGGCGGUACGACGGAGGAUCCAAGCGGUAUCCGGAAGCAUUGGUUUUAAAUGGUCCGUAGGCGGCCUUAUAAGUCAGUGGUGAAAUCUCCUAGCUCAACUAGGAAACUGCCAUUGAUACUGUAGGGCUUGAAUUUUUGUGAAGUAACUAGAAUAUGUAGUGUAGCGGUGAAAUACUUAGAUAUUACAUGGAAUACCAAUUGCGAAGGCAGGUUACUAACAAACGAUUGACGCUGAUGGACGAAAGCGUGGGGAGCGAACAGGAUUAGAUACCCUGGUAGUCC
This 300-nucleotide ribosomal RNA is filed under the name uncultured Clostridium sp. Its description in RNAcentral is "bacterial SSU rRNA". It matches the Rfam family "Bacterial small subunit ribosomal RNA", at positions 497 to 796 of the family's 1533-position model. The record is from RNAcentral. Lineage: Bacteria; Bacillati; Bacillota; Clostridia; Eubacteriales; Clostridiaceae.